Molecule: non-coding RNA, 233 nt
Organism: Pelobates cultripes (western spadefoot toad)
Lineage: Eukaryota; Metazoa; Chordata; Amphibia; Anura; Pelobatidae
Source: the annotation of a GenBank genome assembly
AGAUAAGGUUGCGUAGCAUUGGCAUAAAGGUAAGUGGCUUCUCUAGUAUUCUAGUUGUAUAAUUUUUGCAAAGAGUGUCUGAUCCUCAAGCACAUUCUGCACCAACCUUACACAUCUUGCUGGGGUUCAUUACAGAAUCGGAAACAGAUGGAGGCCAUAAAAAGUAACAGCUUAUCUAGUACUUAAAGGGACACUAUGGUCACCAAAGCAACUUCAGCUUAAUGAAACAGUUU